ACUCCUACGGGAGGCAGCAGUGGGGAAUAUUGGACAAUGGGCGAAAGCCUGAUCCAGCAAUGCCGCGUGCAGGAUGAAGGCCUUCGGGUUGUAAACUGCUUUUGUACGGAACGAAAAAGCUUCUCCUAAUACGAGAGGCCCAUGACGGUACCGUAAGAAUAAGCACCGGCUAACUACGUGCCAGCAGCCGCGGUAAU
Molecule: ribosomal RNA, 197 nt
Filed under: uncultured bacterium
Lineage: Bacteria
Description: partial 16S ribosomal RNA
Rfam family: Bacterial small subunit ribosomal RNA
Source: RNAcentral